UUUCUUGCUUGAAGGGUAGACUAUAAUUUAUGACACAUUAAUUUGGGAAUUCAACAUGGUAGGAUCUAACUAACAUUUCCAGUUGGACGUUGGAGUUCUCGUCGCUGUAUUUCGUCACAAGCAGGUUUCUUAACAUGAUUGGAGGCAGUUCGCCAGGCGUCCGAAUCAAAAUUUGCUACUUAUUGGGAUAUAUUCCCAAUAAGGAGUAAAAACGCUUCAUAUUAUAAAGGAAUACUGCGCAAUUAAAGAUAAGUAACUGCACCUUUUACAUUCCCUAUUUAGUCAUAUUGUUUUCUUUGUUUUCAGUUUCAUAAAAGUGUGAAGUUCGGCACCGAACCGAAAUCAUCAACAAACAUAAUUAAAAAUGAAUAAUAAAAACAUCGACAAUAAGGUUAUGGACUACCAACAAAAAAUGAACAGGAUAAUACUAACUUAAUUCAGUUCAGUGUUGUGGGGAAAAACCCACGGUUCAAGUCGGGCACAAAAAAGGUGUCAAGGUAUAGUCAACCUUUGUUUUUUUUCCAACAACCAUCCGACGCCGCUUCAGUAAAGGUUGUAUUUUUUAAAAGUGAUAUGGAGAGCAAAGCCAUUCAAUUUGAGUUGCGAACAUCCUUUCAACGAAUUUUAAUGCAGAUAUUCUUACUGGUGAGCGUUUUAAGUAUUUUUAUUUACCUAUUCUAGUAUUAAGUAUUAGUUAUUAAAAAUAUAAAUAAUUCAAACAUGUAAAACAACACAAUUAAAUACAUACAUAAAUUAUACAGUUAUAUAAAAUGUCAAGAAAAUAAAAAAAAAUAAAAAAAAAACAAAUAAAUAUCACAGAUCGAAAAAGUAAUAAUGAACUAAGUUAAAACUAAUCUAAAAUUUAGUAAAUAUCACAGAUUAAGAAAAAUAUAAUUAACUAAACUACAAUUAAACUAAAAUUAAGUAAAUAUCACAGAUUAUAAAAAAAAAUUAACUAAAUUAUCAGUCUUUAAAAUUUAUCAAAAUUUAUAAAAUCACAGAUGCUUAAUAGUUUUUAUCACAGUUUAGUACCUAAGUAUAUAAUUUAAAUCAAAACAUAUAACAAAAUAGCAAAAUAAAUAACAUUAAGUAACAUACGUAGAAC
This is a long non-coding RNA of Episyrphus balteatus (marmalade hoverfly), 1105 nucleotides long. RefSeq lists it as uncharacterized. The record is from RefSeq and is a predicted model, not a curated record. NCBI's taxonomy places the organism in Eukaryota, Metazoa, Arthropoda, Insecta, Diptera, Syrphidae. The transcript has 5 exons.